This 207-nucleotide ribosomal RNA is filed under the name uncultured bacterium. RNAcentral describes it as "partial 16S ribosomal RNA". It matches the Rfam family "Bacterial small subunit ribosomal RNA", at positions 568 to 774 of the family's 1533-position model. The record is from RNAcentral.
CGCGUAGGCGGUUCCGAAAGUGGCAUGUGAAAUCCUCUGGCUCAACCAGAGAAGUGCGUGCCAAACUUCGGUUCUAGAGGAUGGUAGGGGGGACUGGAACUCUCGGUGGAGCGGUGAAAUGCGUAGAUAUCGAGAGGAACACCGGUGGCGAAGGCGAGUCCCUGGUCCAUCACUGACGCUGAGGCGCGAAAGCGUGGGUAGCAAACA